GCCCUGGUGGCACAAUGGCUAAGCACUCAGCUGUUAACUGAAAGGUCGUGAGUUCAAACCCACCAGUGGCU
This 71-nucleotide transfer RNA is filed under the name Loxodonta africana (African savanna elephant). It matches the Rfam family "tRNA". Rfam says of the family: Transfer RNA (tRNA) molecules are approximately 80 nucleotides in length. Their secondary structure includes four short double-helical elements and three loops (D, anti-codon, and T loops). Lineage: Eukaryota; Metazoa; Chordata; Mammalia; Proboscidea; Elephantidae. The record is from Rfam by way of RNAcentral.